GUUCCUUUCUUUCCCCUUGUUGUUCAGUGGAGUUAAGAUUCAUAAAGCCGAUCCGAACUGUUUGAGACUGAGGCAUAGUUGGUGUUUUUGUAUUCAUCAUGAUCCCUUCCCUAAAGGCAAUUUCCUUUCAUAUUUACCUAUUGUUUCAGGUAUGCAACAACAAAGCUUUCAUCGUAGCCUUCUUGAUGACCUUCUGUUCUAUAUUUGAUGUCCCGGUGUUCUGGCCAAUAUUGUUAUGUUACUGGAUAUUUCUCUUGGUCCUCACUAUGAAGCGUCAGAUCACACAUAUGAUUAGAUACAAGUAUGAUCCAUUCAGGAAGAAGAAGUAUGGGAAUAAAUCUGAUUGAGAAGCAGUAGUGGCUUAACAGGGGACUAAUGUCAGGGUCGAUCCUUGCGUCUUUUCAAGGGUAGUGGAUGUCCCCUCCUUUGUUCUGAGAAACUCGUGUAAAUAUUCUUCUUCUUGAACAUGUAUCUAACGCAUAUGUAAAUGUUGCGAGAUAUGUAGAUGUGCUUCCUGCAAAUGUAAAAGCCAGUGUAGAGAGUUAGCAUGAACUCUUUUGUUGUUUCCUUUUGAUUUCUUACAUGGAUUCAGGUAUAAAAAACUCUGUUAUUAUCACCAUUGCACAAAAGAUUAGGUGAUGUUUUCUUCCUUGACAGUUGCUCCA
Lycium ferocissimum is the source of this 665-nucleotide long non-coding RNA. RefSeq lists it as uncharacterized. The transcript has 2 exons. NCBI's taxonomy places the organism in Eukaryota, Viridiplantae, Streptophyta, Magnoliopsida, Solanales, Solanaceae. The record is from RefSeq and is a predicted model, not a curated record.